RNAcentral lists this ribosomal RNA (497 nucleotides) under uncultured bacterium. RNAcentral describes it as "partial 16S ribosomal RNA". It matches the Rfam family "Bacterial small subunit ribosomal RNA", at positions 28 to 507 of the family's 1533-position model. The record is from RNAcentral.
GAUGAACGCUGGCGGCGUGCCUAAUACAUGCAAGUCGAGCGAACAGACGAGGAGCUUGCUCCUCUGACGUUAGCGGCGGACGGGUGAGUAACACGUGGAUAACCUACCUAUAAGACUGGGAUAACUUCGGGAAACCGGAGCUAAUACCGGAUAAUAUAUUGAACCGCAUGGUUCAAUAGUGAAAGACGGUUUUGCUGUCACUUAUAGAUGGAUCCGCGCCGCAUUAGCUAGUUGGUAAGGUAACGGCUUACCAAGGCAACGAUGCGUAGCCGACCUGAGAGGGUGAUCGGCCACACUGGAACUGAGACACGGUCCAGACUCCUACGGGAGGCAGCAGUAGGGAAUCUUCCGCAAUGGGCGAAAGCCUGACGGAUCAACGCCGCGUGAGUGAUGAAGGUCUUCGGAUCGUAAAACUCUGUUAUUAGGGAAGAACAAAUGUGUAAGUAACUAUGCACGUCUUGACGGUACCUAAUCAGAAAGCCACGGCUAACUACGUG